CAGAAGUCAGGUCGGAUUAAGCCAUAGUACGGAAAAAACUAUGCUACCUGUGAGCCCCGUCCAAGGACGUUAAAAGAGGUCAGGCCACCACAAGUGCCAUAGCUUGAGUAAACUAUGCAGCCUGUAGCUCCACCUGAGAAGGUGUAAAAAAUCUGGGAGGCCACAAACCAUGGAAGCUGUACGCAUGGCGUAGUGGACUAGCGGUUAGAGGAGACCCCUCCCUCACAAAUCGCAGCAACAAUGGGGGCCCAAGGUGAGAUGAAGCUGUAGUCUCACUGAAAGGACUAGAGGUUAGAGGAGACCCCCCCGAAACAAAAA
Molecule: long non-coding RNA, 318 nt
Filed under: dengue virus type 2
Lineage: Riboviria; Orthornavirae; Kitrinoviricota; Flasuviricetes; Amarillovirales; Flaviviridae
Description: Dengue virus 2 partial sfRNA1
Rfam family: Flavivirus DB element (bases 243-314)
Source: RNAcentral